GCCCCUUUAGCUCAGUCGGUAGAGCGUACGUCUCAUAAACCAAUCAAAAACGCAGAGCCAGCGUAAGGUCAGCAGUUCGAUCCUGUUAGGGGGACA
Molecule: non-coding RNA, 96 nt
Organism: Mayamaea pseudoterrestris
Lineage: Eukaryota; Bacillariophyta; Bacillariophyceae; Sellaphorales; Sellaphoraceae
Source: the annotation of a GenBank genome assembly